Molecule: non-coding RNA, 250 nt
Filed under: Climacostomum virens
Lineage: Eukaryota; Ciliophora; Heterotrichea; Heterotrichida; Climacostomidae
Source: RNAcentral
UGCAAGCUCGAGCUCUGAAUCGGAUGAAGAAAGCGUAGAAAGCGAACUUUCUUCUCAAUUCACUGGCAGCGUCAGAGUAGCUCAAGACUCAUACUUACACCAUGAGGGAAUAGUUGAGCACCAGGCACACCUAGAGAGCGAGGUGGAGGAGCCUCAAGCUGAAGAAGUCAAGGAACACGUUGUGCAUGAAGCGCAUGUUGAACAGCCCCCCCAUGCAGAGCCUACAGUUCCAACUAUUGAGCCCGAGCCU